UAUAUAUUGAAUUAUUGAUAUAUUUAAUAGAAUAAUGCAUACAUAUAAAAUUAUCUUUUACAGUUUUUGGUAGUUUAUAUCGUAUGAAAACGUUAUACUGUACUGUAUUGUAAAUGCAGUCUGUUGGAAAAUAAACAUGGUAAAGUGUUCUUAAAACGGUUGUGAUAAAAACUAAUAUAUAGUUUUGUGUUUCAAUGGUUAUAAUGUUUCUUUUUUCAUAUAAAAUCUUCAUAUAAUUUAAAAAUAAAACAAUAAUCAAAAUUCAAUUAAAACAAAUUCCUUUAGCAUAGAUAUUCAUUUAUAUAGAAUCAUUGGUGUAACAAUCGGGUGCAGAGUGUGCAGACAUGGGCCCGUGAGCUAAGAGGGUCCAUGAAGAUCUAAGGCUCUAAUUAUAAAAAAAAAAUUAUGUUUAAAGUUAAUCUAAGUAUAUAUAUGUUACAGUCAGUGCUCGACUCUGGCCGAUUCGCGAAGUGGUGGCCACUUCUGGAUUUGACCGGGUCAUUUGGCCAAGGACCGAAAUGUACGAGAGUUUACGACUAUUUCAGGCUUUGGCCGGCCAAUUCCCGAUGCGCCUCACAAUCAAUGGUCAAUUUGGGAAUUAUCCAAGAAAAAGUGGCUAAAGGUUGAAAUUUUGCAGGGCUAAGUGGCGGAGUGCAUUCAUGCGUCACAUGUAGGUCUUAC
Molecule: long non-coding RNA, 681 nt
Filed under: Androctonus crassicauda
Lineage: Eukaryota; Metazoa; Arthropoda; Arachnida; Scorpiones; Buthidae
Source: RNAcentral